CGAACGCUGGCGGCGUGCCUAAUACAUGCAAGUCGACCGCUUCUUUCCUCCCGAGUGCUUGCACUCAAUUGGAAAGAGGAGUGGCGGACGGGUGAGUAACACGUGGGUAACCUACCCAUCAGAGGGGGAUAACACUUGGAAACAGGUGCUAAUACCGCAUAACAGUUUAUGCCGCAUGGCAUAAGAGUGAAAGGCGCUUUCGGGUGUCGCUGAUGGAUGGACCCGCGGUGCAUUAGCUAGUUGGUGAGGUAACGGCUCACCAAGGCCACGAUGCAUAGCCGACCUGAGAGGGUGAUCGGCCACACUGGGACUGAGACACGGCCCAGACUCCUACGGGAGGCAGCAGUAGGGAAUCUUCGGCAAUGGACGAAAGUCUGACCGAGCAACGCCGCGUGAGUGAAGAAGGUUUUCGGAUCGUAAAACUCUGUUGUUAGAGAAGAACAAGGACGUUAGUAACUGAACGUCCCCUGACGGUAUCUAACCAGAAAGACACGGCUAACUACGUG
Molecule: ribosomal RNA, 506 nt
Filed under: uncultured bacterium
Lineage: Bacteria
Description: partial 16S ribosomal RNA
Rfam family: Bacterial small subunit ribosomal RNA
Source: RNAcentral